This 497-nucleotide ribosomal RNA is filed under the name uncultured bacterium. RNAcentral describes it as "partial 16S ribosomal RNA". It matches the Rfam family "Bacterial small subunit ribosomal RNA", at positions 899 to 1397 of the family's 1533-position model. The record is from RNAcentral.
ACUCAAAGGAAUUGACGGGGGCCCGCACAAGCGGUGGAUUAUGUGGUUUAAUUCGAAGCAACGCGCAAAACCUUACCUAGGUUUGACAUCCCAUGACAAUCAUAGAAAUAUGACUUUGUAGCAAUACACAUGGAGACAGGUGCUGCAUGGCUGUCGUCAGCUCGUGUUGUGAAAUGUUGGGUUAAGUCCCGCAACGAGCGCAACCCCUGGAUUUAGUUGCCAGCAUUAAGUUGGGCACUCUAGAUUGACCGCCGGCGUUAAGCCGGAGGAAGGUGGGGAUGACGUCAAGUCCUCAUGGCCCUUACACCUAGGGCUACACACGUAAUACAAUGGAUCGGACAAAGGGUCGCGAACCUGCGAGGGGGAGCUAAUCUCAAAAACCGGUCCUCAGUUCGGAUUGGAGGCUGCAAUUCGCCUCCAUGAAGGCGGAAUCGCUAGUAAUCGUGGAUCAGCACGCCACGGUGAAUACGUUCCCGGGCCUUGUACACACCGCCCGU